This 253-nucleotide ribosomal RNA is filed under the name uncultured bacterium. RNAcentral's name for it is "partial 16S ribosomal RNA". It matches the Rfam family "Bacterial small subunit ribosomal RNA", at positions 524 to 776 of the family's 1533-position model. The record is from RNAcentral.
UACGUAGGGGGCAAGCGUUGUCCGGAAUCAUUGGGCGUAAAGAGCGUGUAGGCGGCCCGGUAAGUCCGCCGUGAAAGUCCAGGGCUCAACCCUGGAAUGCCGGUGGAAACUGUCGGGCUGGAGUCCGGAAGAGGCGAGUGGAAUUCCUGGUGUAGCGGUGAAAUGCGCAGAUAUCAGGAGGAACACCAAUGGCGAAGGCAGCUCGCUGGGACGGUACUGACGCUGAGACGCGAAAGCGUGGGGAGCAAACAGG